RNAcentral lists this ribosomal RNA (457 nucleotides) under Malva sylvestris. Its description in RNAcentral is "eukaryotic LSU rRNA". The stretch from base 317 to 457 matches the Rfam family "Eukaryotic large subunit ribosomal RNA", at positions 1 to 141 of the family's 3401-position model. Lineage: Eukaryota; Viridiplantae; Streptophyta; Magnoliopsida; Malvales; Malvaceae. The record is from RNAcentral.
UGCAGAAUCCCGUGAACCAUCGAGUCUUUGAACGCAAGUUGCGCCCCAAGCCUUUAGGCCGAGGGCACGUCUGCCUGGGUGUCACGCAUCGUCGCCCCCGUCAAACCCCGAGCCCUCGGGCCGGGAUCGACGCGCGGGCGGAAAUUGGCCUCCCGUGCGCUCACCGCUCGCGGUUGGUCUAAAUUCGAGUCCUCGGCGAUGAUGCGCCGCGACGAUCGGUGGGAACGCCUUUGGCUGCCUCGUUCGGAGUCGCGCGCGCUCGUCGAUCGGGACGCUUUCGACCCUUUAAGGCAUCGCGACGUCGAUGCUCGCAUCGCGACCCCAGGUCAGGCGGGAUCACCCGCUGAGUUUAAGCAUAUCAAUAAGCGGAGGAAAAGAAACUUACCAGGAUUCCCUUAGUAACGGCGAGCGAACCGGGAAAAGCCCAGCUUGAAAAUCGGUCGCCCUCGGCGUCCGA